This 561-nucleotide ribosomal RNA is filed under the name Parasesarma continentale. RNAcentral describes it as "partial large subunit ribosomal RNA". The stretch from base 409 to 561 matches the Rfam family "Bacterial large subunit ribosomal RNA", at positions 2473 to 2625 of the family's 2925-position model. The record is from RNAcentral. Lineage: Eukaryota; Metazoa; Arthropoda; Malacostraca; Decapoda; Sesarmidae.
GUCUAUUUGUAGAUAUAAAAAGUCUAGCCUGCUCACUGAAUUAUUUUUAAGAGCCGCGGUAUUUCUGACUGUGCAAAGGUAGCAUAAUCGUUAGUUUUUUAAUUGAAAUCUUGUAUGAAUGGUUUGACAAAAAAAAGACUGUCUUUAUUAUUAUUAAUUGAAUUUAACUUUUAAGUGAAAAGGCUUAAAUAAAUUAAAAAGACGAUAAGACCCUAUAAAGCUUUAUAUUAAUUUAUUACUUAAUAAAAUUUUAUUUUAUAAAUAUUUGGUAAUGAAUUUUAUUUUAUUGGGGUGAUAAUGGUAAAAUGAUUAAUAACUGUUAAUUUUGUUAAAACAAAAAUAAAUGAGUAAAGUAAAUGAUUCAAUAAAUGAUCCUAUUUAAAGAUUUAAAGUUUAAGUUACUUUAGGGAUAACAGCGUAAUUUUUUUUGAGAGUUCUUAUCGAGAAAAAAGUUUGCGACCUCGAUGUUGAAUUAAAAUAUCUAUAUAAUUGUAGCAGUUAUAUAAGAAGGUCUGUUCGACCUUUAAAUUUUUACAUGAUUUGAGUUCAAACCGGUGUAAG